Molecule: long non-coding RNA, 766 nt
Organism: Nothoprocta perdicaria
Lineage: Eukaryota; Metazoa; Chordata; Aves; Tinamiformes; Tinamidae
Exons: 5
Source: RefSeq, a predicted model, not a curated record
UGUCAAUCCUCCAGGUACAGACUAAAAAACAACUGCAGAGGCAGCUUUAACCUAACUAGCUCAUGUUCUGGACACCCUAAGCCCUUCUAUUCCCUCUCUGAAGUUCCAGGACAAUCUUUUGAUUGGAAGAUGGAAGAGCUGAGUCAUCCCUUGAGAAGGAAUUUCUCACCCCAGAUGACAUUGUGCAAUCCAGCUCUCUUUUAUGGUUGCUGCUGAAGGAACUACUGUGUCACUGAAAGACCUGCAUGAAGAUGACAUUGUCCCAUUUCUUUCGUUACUAAAGCAAAGCUAAACUCCUUGCUUAUUGCUCACUGCAGAACAAGGCCCCACAGCGCUCAUCAGGGCAAGGCCUCGAGGGGAAGAUGGAUGAUGUCCCCUGAUGUGGUGACGAGGAGCUGGCAUUGUUCCCUACCUCACACCCCCUGCGCUUCUGGAGCCCAAGAGAGAAGUCUCAAAUGCAAAGCUGUGUGUCUCUGCACUUGGAAAGUCCCCUCUCCAGUUUCUGCAUUCGAGUUCAUGGAAGAGUUAUUAAUGGAAUGGUAAUGCUCUCCAGGAACAACAGGACAAGGACCAGCUCCUCCUGGUAACUGGAAGUUACCUCCUGAGUAGCAACUUGAGGAGACCAAGGCCCUGAUUGAACGCAACGGAUAGAGAGCCAGGAUUUCUUUGCCACAGCCCUCAGUGUGACCCUGUUACUCACCUGAUCCCUCUGAAGCUGAUCCCUUCUUGCUGUCUCGGUAGCGUCUGCYGUGGCUGCCAACUCGCC